AAUUGUUCAAUCUGUUAAGCACUGAACUGGAAUAAAGUAACUCAACAAAGAUUCGUGAUUUUCUAUUGUACUUAUCUGUCACUCCUUGGAGCAAGCUUGUGCAAGAGCUAAGGCCUAAGAGGAAUGGAAUUGUAAAAUUAAUCUAAUGUCUCAUACGUGAUGUAGCAAAAAUACCAAUUCACACACACUCUGCAAGAAAUUCACUCAAUCUUUCACUCACACACACACUCUCUGCACAAUACGAACACAAUGAAUCCCCCCACCCCCCUCCCCACAUAGCUGUUCAGCUCGCCUUCAUGGCUUUCUACGUCAAUCAUCAUCUUCUCCGUUGAAAUACACCACUAUGAGCACUUCCUUCCAGAGAAAGAACUUUUUCUUCACUGAAAACAGACUUCACAAAAAAUCUCCAUUUACCCAUUUUCACAAACACCAUAUGCGCACUAUUUUGCGGCGAUGCUGUUGCUCAUUCGGUAUUUAAUCGAGUUGCCGGUUCGAGUUCAAACCCCUGUUCUUCCAGUUUUAGUCAAAGUUCUAAUUUUCCGUGGUUUUUCCAUUUUCUCAGUUCGACUCUCCUCGGAGGUUUUGGUCCAUUCUUGCAUUUGUGUUUGCGAUAUCGAGUUCGAUAUUAGCUCAUGUCAUUCUCUGAUAAAAAUGUGAACGAAUUAAUAUCUGCU
This 674-nucleotide long non-coding RNA is filed under the name Nicotiana benthamiana. Its description in RNAcentral is "long non-coding RNA (NBEN_LNC005310)". The record is from RNAcentral. Lineage: Eukaryota; Viridiplantae; Streptophyta; Magnoliopsida; Solanales; Solanaceae.